GACGAACGCUGGCGGCGUGCUUAACACAUGCAAGUCGAACGAAGAGCGACGGAAGCUUGCUUCUAUCAAUCUUAGUGGCGAACGGGUGAGUAACGCGUAAUCAACCUGCCCUUCAGAGGGGGACAACAGUUGGAAACGACUGCUAAUACCGCAUACGAUCUAAUCUCGGCAUCGAGGAUGGAUGAAAGGUGGCCUCUACAUGUAAGCUAUCACUGAAGGAGGGGAUUGCGUCUGAUUAGCUAGUUGGAGGGGUAACGGCCCACCAAGGCGAUGAUCAGUAGCCGGUCUGAGAGGAUGAGCGGCCACAUUGGGACUGAGACACGGCCCAGACUCCUACGGGAGGCAGCAGUGGGGAAUCUUCCGCAAUGGACGAAAGUCUGACGGAGCAACGCCGCGUGAGUGAUGACGGCCUUCGGGUUGUAAAGCUCUGUUAAUCGGGACGAAAGGCCUUCUUGCGAAUAGGGAGAAGGAUUGACGGUACCGAAAGAGAAAGCCACGGCUAACUACGUG
Molecule: ribosomal RNA, 510 nt
Filed under: uncultured bacterium
Lineage: Bacteria
Description: partial 16S ribosomal RNA
Rfam family: Bacterial small subunit ribosomal RNA
Source: RNAcentral